CCGAGUGCGAGGGCAUAUAGUCCUCGCUUUUCACCACCGUAAGGUGGUGGUGGAAUAAGUGCUGGGCAAGACCGGUGCCAGCCGCCGCGGUAAUACCGGCAGCACGAGUGAUGACCGCUAUUAUUGGGCCUAAAGCGUCCGUAGCUGGCCGCACAAGUCUAUCGGGAAAUCUGCGUGCUUAACGCGCAGGCGUCCGGUGGAAACUGUGUGGCUUGGGACCGGAAGAUCCAGAGGGUACGUCUGGGGUAGGAGUGAAAUCCCGUAAUCCUGGACGGACCGCCGGUGGCGAAAGCGCUCUGGAAGGACGGAUCCGACGGUGAGGGACGAAAGCUCGGGUCACGAACCGGAUUAGAUACCCGGGUAGUCCGAGCUGUAAACGAUGUCUGCUAGGUGUGACACUGGCUACGAGCCAGUGUUGUGCCGUAGGGAAGCCGUGAAGCAGACCGCCUGGAAAGUACGUCCGCAAGGAUGAAACUUAAAGGAAUUGGCG
Molecule: ribosomal RNA, 490 nt
Filed under: uncultured bacterium
Lineage: Bacteria
Description: bacterial SSU rRNA
Rfam family: Archaeal small subunit ribosomal RNA
Source: RNAcentral